AAUAAAGCUGAGACGUAAAUUUACCUGACGCAUUGCCCUCCCAGAAAUAAAGAUAAAGGACAGUAAGACUUGCGAGGUAAAUUUACCUCUGGCGUCUUGACAGCCGGUUCACCACUACUACCCACGAUCUGUUCCGCACGCAGCCACAUCGGUUCCCUCCUGUGGAGGCCAACAGAUCAGGUCCCUCUAUCCUUGCAGCCAUGAACUGGCUCUGGCGGCUUUGCUGAAGGAGCAUCGGUCAUCUCGCCGGCGGGAUUCGGGCGGGACCCAAUUCAGCGUAAGCGGCGGCGCCAAGUGCGCAAGUCUGACCUCGACAUCCAUGAAUCAGUUUCGCCAGGGAAGCGAGCUCAGGGGCCCUGAUUGAAUGGAUCCCAAGAUCUCACCGGCCGCGGUUGAGUCAUCAUGGUCUAGGGAGAUACCAAUACCCAAUUCCAAAGAAAGUAUUUUUGUUGUAGGGAUCCAGGUGGGGCCUCACCAUACAAGUAUCUACUUACUGUGAUCAAUGAUGAUGAACUCCAUCAAAACAUACUAUUUUUCCUCUACAGAAUUCCCCUUUUGUCAAUCGACUUUAGUUGUAUAGCCUGAUUGACCUGUCAAACUCAUUGUAUUUUCCUUGCCGUUUUCUUGGGAAGGCAUGGGAGAAAGAUUUUGUUCUAGGAUAUAGCUUUGUACCGCAAUGCAUGAUGAGCAAAUCUAACUGCAAAUACACUUGUAUUGUUCAGAAAAGCUCUCUGGUUCUGUUACUCAGAGUCGUACAUGCAGAUAGUAGCUCCUCCAAACAUUAUUGUAAUGUUACUACUUAAUGUGGAUUCUGGAGGUGCGGCUAAAAUUUCCUACUAGAGGCCCAUGCGUGGCUACCUGGUUGCUCCAAUCUGCUGGCUCAACAUUUGCUUGUUGAGGGUGCUGGCUUUUAAUUUUUUUUGGGUUUGUCUUGUAAAACACUGGUCGUUUCUUUGAUGGAAUUCACCGAGGCGUGCUCAUUGUUUAUUUAAGGUGUGGAUUUAAAGUAGAUAUACCUCAUGUUGGAGUUGAAGUAAAUCCUUCACGUACUAAUUGUAGAGUUUCCUAUUAGUUUUGAGCUGCUUUUGUGCCACCACUGAUUUCCGCAUAAAAAUUAGGAAAUUAGGUGAUUAAUUUUUAGGUACAAAUUAUAUCACCAAAGGCAUUCCCAGGAUGAUUAGCUUUUGUAGUUGAGAAAUAGCUAACUCUCUCCCUUGCAAAAGAAAAUGAAGCAGUUAGCUCUCAUAUGAACGUGUGUUUAGAUCUUCUUGCUCUGUUAUGGAUUGAUCUAACUAGAAGCUUCAUAUAGUUGGCAGGCCAUUUGAUACGUCUCCAACGUAUCUAUAAUUUAUGAAGCAUUCAUGCUAUUAUAUUAUCCAUCUAGGAUGUUUUAUAUGCAUUUAUAUGCUAUUUUAUAUGAUUUUUGGGACUAACCUAUUAACCUAGAGCCCAGUGUCAG
RNAcentral lists this ribosomal RNA (1459 nucleotides) under Triticum aestivum (bread wheat). Its description in RNAcentral is "partial small subunit ribosomal RNA". The record is from RNAcentral. Lineage: Eukaryota; Viridiplantae; Streptophyta; Magnoliopsida; Poales; Poaceae.